This 253-nucleotide ribosomal RNA is filed under the name uncultured bacterium. RNAcentral's name for it is "partial 16S ribosomal RNA". It matches the Rfam family "Bacterial small subunit ribosomal RNA", at positions 524 to 776 of the family's 1533-position model. The record is from RNAcentral.
UACGAAGGGGGCUAGCGUUGCUCGGAAUCACUGGGCGUAAAGCGCACGUAGGCGGCUUCUUAAGUCAGGGGUGAAAUCCUGGAGCUCAACUCCAGAACUGCCUUUGAUACUGAGGAGCUUGAGUCCGGGAGAGGUGAGUGGAACUGCGAGUGUAGAGGUGAAAUUCGUAGAUAUUCGCAAGAACACCAGUGGCGAAGGCGGCUCACUGGCCCGGUACUGACGCUGAGGUGCGAAAGCGUGGGUAGCAAACAGG